This 468-nucleotide ribosomal RNA is filed under the name uncultured bacterium. RNAcentral's name for it is "partial 16S ribosomal RNA". It matches the Rfam family "Bacterial small subunit ribosomal RNA", at positions 28 to 507 of the family's 1533-position model. The record is from RNAcentral.
GACGAACGCUGGCGGCGUGCUUAACACAUGCAAGUCGAACGGAAAGGCCCUGCUUUUGUGGGGUGCUCGAGUGGCGAACGGGUGCGUAACACGUGAGUAACCUGCCCUUGACUUUGGGAUAACUUCAGGAAACUGGGGCUAAUACCGGAUAGGAGCUCCUGCUGCAUGGUGGGGGUUGGAAAGUUUCGGCGGUUGGGGAUGGACUCGCGGCUUAUCAGCUUGUUGGUGGGGUAGUGGCUUACCAAGGCUUUGACGGGUAGCCGGCCUGAGAGGGUGACCGGCGACCAUGGGACUGCGAGACGGCCCAGAGUCCAACGGGAGGCAGUAGGGGGGAAUAUUGCACAAUGGGCGCGAGCCUGAGGCAGCAACGCCGCGGGCGGGAUGACGGCCUUCGGGGUGUAAAACGCUUUCGCCUGUGACGAAGCGGGAGUGACGGUAAUGGGUAAAGAAGCACCGGCUAACUACGUG